GUGUGUGUGUCAGUGUAGUGAAUGCAGAGUGUGUGUCAGUGUAGUGAAUGCAGUGUGUGUGUUAGUGUAAUGAAUGCAGUGUGUGUGUGUCAGUGUAGUGAAUGCAGAGUGUGUGUCAGUGUAGUGAAUGCAGUGUGUGUGUUAGUGUAGUGAAUGCAGAGUGUGUGUCAGUGUAAUGAAUGCAGUGUGUGUGUUAGUGCAGUGAAUGCAGUGUAUGUGUUAGUGUAGUGAAUGCAG
This is a non-coding RNA of Pelobates cultripes (western spadefoot toad), 237 nucleotides long. NCBI's taxonomy places the organism in Eukaryota, Metazoa, Chordata, Amphibia, Anura, Pelobatidae. The record is from the annotation of a GenBank genome assembly.